GACGAACGCUGGCGGCGUGCUUAACACAUGCAAGUCGAACGGAAAGGCCCUGCUUUUGUGGGGUGCUCGAGUGGCGAACGGGUGAGUAACACGUGAGUAACCUGCCCUUGACUUUGGGAUAACUUCAGGAAACUGGGGCUAAUACCGGAUAGGAGCUCCUGCUGCAUGGAGGGGGUUGGAAAGUUUCGGCGGUUGGGGAUGGACUCGCGGCUUAUCAGCUUGUUGGUGGGGGAGUGGCUUACCAAGGCUUUGACGGGUAGCCGGCCUGGGAGGGUGACCGGCCACAUUGGGACUGAGGUACGGCCCAGACUCCUACGGGAGGCAGCAGUGGGGAAUAUUGCACAAUGGGCGGAAGCCUGAUGCAGCAACGCCGCGUGCGGGAUGACGGCCUUCGGGUUGUAAACCGCUUUCGCCUGUGACGAAGCGUGAGUGACGGUAAUGGGUAAAGAAGCACCGGCUAACUACGUG
RNAcentral lists this ribosomal RNA (468 nucleotides) under uncultured bacterium. Its description in RNAcentral is "partial 16S ribosomal RNA". It matches the Rfam family "Bacterial small subunit ribosomal RNA", at positions 28 to 507 of the family's 1533-position model. The record is from RNAcentral.